RNAcentral lists this ribosomal RNA (454 nucleotides) under uncultured bacterium. RNAcentral describes it as "bacterial SSU rRNA". It matches the Rfam family "Bacterial small subunit ribosomal RNA", at positions 340 to 784 of the family's 1533-position model. The record is from RNAcentral.
UACGGGAGGCAGCAGUGGGGAAUAUUGCACAAUGGGCGAAAGCCUGAUGCAGCUAUGCCGCGUGUAUGAAGAAGGCCUUAGGGUUGUAAAGUACUUUCAUCGGGGAGGAAAAACAAAACUAAUAAUUUUAUUUCUUGACGUUACCCGAAAAAGAAGCACCGGCUAACUCCGUGCCAGCAGCCGCGGUAAUACGGAGGGUGCUAGCGUUAAUCAGAAUUACUGGGCGUAAAGAGCACGUAGGUGGUUUUUUUAAAGUCAGAUGUGAAAUCCCUGGGCUUAACCUAGGAACUGCAUUUUGAAACUGAAAUACUAGAGUAUCGUAGAGGGAGGUAGAAUUCUAGGUGUAGCGGUGAAAUGCGUAGAUAUCUGGAGGAAUACCUGUGGCGAAAGCGGCCUCCUAAACGAAUACUGACACUGAGGUGCGAAAGCGUGGGGAGCAAACAGGGAUUAGAUA